Molecule: long non-coding RNA, 571 nt
Organism: Nycticebus coucang (slow loris)
Lineage: Eukaryota; Metazoa; Chordata; Mammalia; Primates; Lorisidae
Exons: 3
Source: RefSeq, a predicted model, not a curated record
UGCUGUGAUUACAGGCAUGAGCCACCCCACCUGGUCUACAAACAGCAAAGAGAUUGGAAACCUCACCACAGAAAUGCCUCUCAAGAAACUGAGUUCAGUCUGGGGGGGCUGAGUCAGACAGGAUUGCUGAUAUCCGUCAUCCACCCAGGGGCAGCGGAGAAUACAUGAGCGACCCUGUGGCAAUCCUGGGAGAAGCCUGACCUGACCUGCAUGGAGGUCAAAGUCAAGGUCAAGGUCAGGUAAAGCCAGGACCACCUGCCUCUGGCUGUGUCCACAGCCCGACCCCCAACAGCCAGCUUCUCUGCUGUGGCAGUGACACGUUUCUCCACCAGACCUGCAGAGUCAUCUUGGAGGAGAAUGGAGAGACGAAUGAGAAGCCCAGCCUGAGUCGCUCUCCCCUCCACAGGGCUCUGGGGACAGACAAGGGCCUGAGGCAUCAUGUGUGCACCAGCACAGCUGGGACCCCGGAAAUGCCAGACGGUGCCCUGGACUAGGGGAUGCAGCCUGCUAAUGGGGGAGGAGACCUUGUCUUCCGCACGGCCUCCUGCCUGGGUCCCCGGCUGGGCUCUUG